AUUCCCUCGAUCUCUCGCUUCCUCAAUCACGCAAGCCGCUACAAAGCCACCAACCCUAGCGUCUAGCGGCGUGACCGGCGACGGCGGGCCGGCGGCGACAGCGAGCAGCAUGGCGCAGGCAGAGGCUGUGCACGGGCAGGCAGAGACAGGCGGCGGCGCAGCGCCGUAGCGGCGCACCGGGCGACGAGGGGCGAGCAGCAGGCAGUGAGGGGCAAGCAGCUAGCAGAUCUGGCUAUCAGGUCAUCCAUCCAUCAAAGGGCAUCAGGGAGCGUCGCAGCGGGGGCAAGCAGCAGCAGCUAGCAGAGCAAGCGUCAAGCCGCUAGCGGUAUGAAGGAGAAGACACCAACCAAAUAGGCUCGAAGUCUCGCGAGCGGGCUGGACGACAUGCACUGAAGAACGAGGUAGAACACGCCUUUGUAUCACCGCUGGUAGUGAAGUGCUCGUCGGAGCUAGCGUCCCAGCUGCUGCCUGCACGCCUCUCAGGCCGACCGACAUCGUCCGGCAGCAAGUCGAGAAGCUGUCGGACGUGGUGCCUUGCUGCAUUCUUUUUCAUUGUAACUAUUUUAUUCCUUUGGAAGUUAAUGUCACAAGUUAUUCAGAGUGAGUAUUCGAGUAAUUGUUUUAUUCUGUAACAUGAUUGCUGGAAUGAAGGGUAAAAUACUAAAAUGUUUUUCUGUUGUCUUGC
Molecule: long non-coding RNA, 685 nt
Organism: Oryza sativa Japonica Group (Japanese rice)
Lineage: Eukaryota; Viridiplantae; Streptophyta; Magnoliopsida; Poales; Poaceae
Source: RefSeq, a predicted model, not a curated record